GAAACCAAUCUUGCCUGAAUCCAGGUCCGGGACUCUUUCCAGAGGUAACUCAGUGGCUAUGAUGUGCCUAGUCUGAAUUUUCAGAUCCUCCCUUAGUUCCUCAUAAACCUUGGCUCCUUUUGGUUCAUGGUGUCAGAUUCAUGGAAGGACAUCUUUGCCGGCAGUCUAACUGCUCAUAUUCCUUUGUGUGGAAAAUGAGAGAUGACAGGGUGCUCCCUGAGAAAGCCACUGUGAGAUAAGCCAGGAGAAGAAAUCAGUCUCUCUGGAAGAGGAACAGGCUGUACUUUGGAAAUGAAAUAUUCCUCUGAGGACCCUUUGGAGGCUUAAUAUUCCAGCCGCAGGUGUCAGAGGAAGGCGGACCCGAGGAAAUGGGGCACCAGAGCUAGGUUUUGGAAAUGUUCGGAGCCUGAUGUUCCUGACAUCUGCAACUUUCAUCUGGGUCCUGGGAGACGAUCUGGGUUGCCUUCAGAGUUUCACAUUGACAACUUCUACAUUCUGGGCAGCAGCCUACUAGCAUAGGAUUGGACACUUAAUGCUGGAAAGGACCUUGGAGUUCCUGUAGUCAUACCCACUAAUUUUAUAAAGGAGGAAACUAAGAAAUGAUUUGCCCAAAUUCAAGUGACUGAGCCAGGAUUUGAAUAUGGAUCCCUCUGGCCAACAUUCCUCCUCUUUACUUUUGACUUUGGGCUUUUUAACUGCACAUGGCAGGGACUGACUCCUUGAGAUCCAGAGUGGGGAGGUGACUUGCUGCUAACCUAGUUUCUCGUUUUAUUCAGCGGAAUGAUGUCUUUUUCCCAUAUGGGGAAACUAAGUUUCAAGGAGCUUAGCAUUAACCCCCAUUCAGAAUUCUAGGCUACUAGCCUAGCUUGCCUAUCUAUUUGUGACAACCUAGAUAGCAUCUCCUCCUCACUACUGCCAUUCUAAAAGAUUCCAAGGACUACUAAAAUUUAUGGGGAAAAGGCCACCUUAAUUAAGAGCCUUCUGUACUAGAAAGGAAAUAGACUUUCAUUUUCCUAACAGUGACAUGAUUUAUCACAACCCCUCCCCAAUUUCCCCCAAAGUCAUCACCCUUUCCAGGAGAAACAUCUAUCACUUGCAAGACAUUUCAAGAACCACCUUCCAUUCCUCCUCCCCAUUUCCUGAUGCCCUCCAGGCCUUCUGACUUUAAUCUAUCCCCCCUGCCCCAAAGGUUCAUGGGCCAAGUUCAAGCCAUGAACAGAUCCUCUAUUGUACCUCCAUUCAUGAUUGGAAGAGAAAAAAAAGUUGAUGAUCCCUCCUGGAGCCCAGCCUUGGAGGGAGAUGCCACUUGGUAACUCAGGGUGUGGGGAGGGAGGGCUGCCUCCUUGGCCACCCUUGCUUUUGAUGCCUGCCAUGAAAAUAUAUGUGUUUAAUCAGGCUCCUGACAGGUAAAGGCUGUUAAAAAAAAAAAAAAAAAAAAAAAAAAAAAAAAA
This is a long non-coding RNA of Sarcophilus harrisii (Tasmanian devil), 1451 nucleotides long. RefSeq lists it as uncharacterized. NCBI's taxonomy places the organism in Eukaryota, Metazoa, Chordata, Mammalia, Dasyuromorphia, Dasyuridae. The record is from RefSeq and is a predicted model, not a curated record. The transcript has 2 exons.